UGGGGAAUUUUCCGCAAUGGGCGAAAGCCUGACGGAGCAAUACCGCGUGAGGGAUGACGGCCCGUGGGUUGUAAACCUCUUUUCUCAAGGAAGAAGUUCUGACGGUACUUGAGGAAUAAGCAUCGGCUAACUCUGUGCCAGCAGCCGCGGUAAUACAGAGGAUGCAAGCGUUAUCCGGAAUCACUGGGCAUAAAGCGUCUGUAGGUUGUUUAGUAAGUCUGCUGUUAAAGACUAGGGCCUAACCCUAGGAAAGCAGUGGAAACUGCUAGACUUGAGUAUGGUAGAGGUAGAGGGAAUUCCUAGUGUAGCGGUGAAAUGCGUAGAUAUUAGAAAGAACACCAGUGGCGAAA
This 350-nucleotide ribosomal RNA is filed under the name uncultured bacterium. RNAcentral describes it as "bacterial SSU rRNA". It matches the Rfam family "Bacterial small subunit ribosomal RNA", at positions 355 to 720 of the family's 1533-position model. The record is from RNAcentral.